This 282-nucleotide ribosomal RNA is filed under the name uncultured bacterium. Its description in RNAcentral is "partial small subunit ribosomal RNA". It matches the Rfam family "Bacterial small subunit ribosomal RNA", at positions 26 to 287 of the family's 1533-position model. The record is from RNAcentral.
AGAACGAACGCUGGCGGCGUGCCUGAGACAUGCAAGUCGUGGGAGAACGUCGUAGCAAUACGGCUAGUAAACCGGCGCACGGGUGAGUAACACGUGGACAAUUUGCCGUUGAGUCUGGGAUAACCCGUCGAAAGACGAGCUAAUACCGGAUAAGACCACAGGAAGUUCGCUUCCCGAGGUAAAAGAUGGCCGUCUGCUCCUGCAAGCUAUCACUCAUCGAGAAGUUCGCGGCCUAUCAGCUAGUUGGUGAGGUAACGGCCCACCAAGGCUAAGACGGGUAGC